GUGCAUGCAGCAAUAUGAUGCCUGGCUUUCGCGGCCGGCUGAAGUAUUUUUUUCACCCAUGUCUUUUGCGCACUUGUUGUUUCCUGGGCGGGUUCGCCCGCCACCAGGACCAAACCAUAAACCUUUUUUUCUUAUGCAGUUUCCAUCAGCGUCAGUAAAAACAAUGUAAUUAUUACAACUUUCAACAACGGAUCUCUUGGUUCUGGCAUCGAUGAAGAACGCAGCGAAAUGCGAUACGUAGUGUGAAUUGCAGAAUUCAGUGAAUCAUCGAAUCUUUGAACGCACAUUGCGCCCUUUGGUAUUCCAAAGGGCAUGCCUGUUCGAGCGUCAUUUGUACCUUCAAGCUUUGCUUGGUGUUGGGCGUUUUUUUGUCUCCCUCUUUCUGGGAGACUCGCCUUAAAACGAUUGGCAGCCGGCCUACUGGUUUCGGAGCGCAGCACAUUUUUUGCGCUUUGUAUCAGGAGAAAAGGACGGUACUCCAUCAAGACUCUACAUUUUUCACUUUUGACCUCGGAUCAGGUAGGGAUACCCGCUGAACUUAAGCAUAUCAAAGCGGGGAGGGAAUC
This 566-nucleotide ribosomal RNA is filed under the name Bipolaris oryzae. RNAcentral's name for it is "eukaryotic LSU rRNA". The stretch from base 177 to 330 matches the Rfam family "5.8S ribosomal RNA". Lineage: Eukaryota; Fungi; Ascomycota; Dothideomycetes; Pleosporales; Pleosporaceae. The record is from RNAcentral.